RNAcentral lists this ribosomal RNA (324 nucleotides) under uncultured bacterium. RNAcentral describes it as "bacterial SSU rRNA". It matches the Rfam family "Bacterial small subunit ribosomal RNA", at positions 28 to 351 of the family's 1533-position model. The record is from RNAcentral.
GACGAACGCUGGCGGUGUGCUUCAUACAUGCAAGUCGAACGAGAAGUCUGAAGCUUGCUUCAGAGGAAAGUGGCGGACGGGUGAGUAAUAUGUAGGAAAUCUGCCUUUAGGUUGGGGACAACAGAGGGAAACUUCUGCUAAUACCCGAUAUGAGCUUAGUUGAAAUACUAAUCUUGAAAGUUCCGGCGCCUAGAGAUGAGCCUGCACCUGAUUAGCUAGUUGGUACGUGUAAUGGACUACCAAGGCGACGAUCAGUAGCUGGUUUGAGAGGAUGAUCAGCCACAAUGGGACUGAGACACGGCCCGAUACUCCUACGGGAGGCAG